Trematomus bernacchii (emerald rockcod) is the source of this 1020-nucleotide long non-coding RNA. RefSeq lists it as uncharacterized. The transcript has 2 exons. Lineage: Eukaryota; Metazoa; Chordata; Actinopteri; Perciformes; Nototheniidae. The record is from RefSeq and is a predicted model, not a curated record.
ACAGCUGCACUCACCUUGUUACCUGCCAGGUGAGACACGGAAAAGACAUUCAGUCCUCAGAAUGAAUUCCACCCUCGCGCUGAAUAAAGCAGCUCGUUCAUUAGUCUCGUGCUACCUGAGUGAUUGGAAGACAGGGUUUUGCAGUAUUUCUGUUAUCCGCACAGCUGGAAACUUUGCCUGGGUAUUUAUGUGCUCAAAAAUUUCAGUCAUUGUUUCUGGUCGUGUGUGUAAGGCAGGCUACAUCAAUGCCAACUAAAGCUGACACAAUGGAGUUAUGGAUGAUUUAUUAUGUUUGAUCCACAGCCGUUUUCAGGUUGAGGUGGAAAAUCUAUUUUGGUAAAGUAAAACAAAUGUAAAACUGAAAUGGAUGCCAGCCUGAAACACUGCUGAGCUAAACUGUCUGGACAGCAUAGCCUAAAUGUUGCAUCAUGACUGUAGAAUUGUACAAUAUCUAGAGUUGCAUGGAUAUUAUAGUUAAACAAUUUCUAAUCUUCAUUUUUAACACAUCUGACUGUUUUAAUUUGUUUUGAGGACUCUGGGAGUGGGACAGGUUACUUGUCUGGUCUGAAAACCCUUUAAUCUCUACAGCAGCCACUUUACUGGUUGUGGAGGUGUAGCUCCAGUAGUUUGGUUGUGACAUCUCUCACUGAGGGCAUGGCCGCGGUGUUACCACAUGCAAGCAGGCAUCAGAAUGUCAGGUAUGUUGGUGAACCAGAUCCACUCAGCCUUUUCUCAGAUGAAGGGUGUGACUCUGUACUUUCCUGGAGAUUGGCAUGGUUUAUUAAAAAUGCUGUCAAUAAAAGACUACCUGACAGAAUUAUUGCACAAUAAAUCCACUGAGCACAUGAUAGAUGAGUCACAGGUAAAGAGAUGCAAGAAAAUGUCCUGGAUCAAAGUAUUUGUUUUUUGUCGAUUAAAGAAAAUGAUUGCAUGUUGGCUUGUAUUAAAUGUACACUUGUGUAUCUGUUACAACAGAAAUAAACAUGAUCAAUAAACGCUUGGAAAGCACUUAAUACUGUA